Molecule: small nuclear RNA, 195 nt
Filed under: Jaculus jaculus (lesser Egyptian jerboa)
Lineage: Eukaryota; Metazoa; Chordata; Mammalia; Rodentia; Dipodidae
Description: U2 spliceosomal RNA (ENSJJAG00000005283.1)
Rfam family: U2 spliceosomal RNA
About the family: U2 is a small nuclear RNA (snRNA) component of the spliceosome (involved in pre-mRNA splicing). Complementary binding between U2 snRNA (in an area lying towards the 5' end but 3' to hairpin I) and the branchpoint sequence (BPS) of the intron results the bulging out of an unpaired adenosine, on the BPS, which initiates a nucleophilic attack at the intronic 5' splice site, thus starting the first of two transesterification reactions that mediate splicing.
Source: Rfam by way of RNAcentral
AUCGCUUCUCGGCCUUUUGGCUAAGAUCAAGUAUAGUAUCCUUUCUUAUCAGUUUAAUAUCUGAUAUGUCCUCUAUCUGAGGACAGUAUAUUAAAUGGAUUUUUGGAGCUCAGAGUUGGAAUAGAAACUUGCUCCAUCCACUCCACACAUCGACCUGGUAUUGCUGUACCUCUAGGAAAGAGUGGUGCACCCCCU